This 484-nucleotide ribosomal RNA is filed under the name uncultured bacterium. RNAcentral's name for it is "partial 16S ribosomal RNA". It matches the Rfam family "Bacterial small subunit ribosomal RNA", at positions 30 to 507 of the family's 1533-position model. The record is from RNAcentral.
AUUGAACGCUGGCGGCAGGCCUAACACAUGCAAGUCGAGCGGAUGAAGGGACUUUGUUCCUGGAUUCCGCGGCGGACGGGCGUGACAUGUCUACAAACCUGCCUGGUAGUGGGGAAUACCCUCCGGAAACGGGCGCUAAUACCCCAUACGUCCUGCGGGCGAAUGUGGGGGAUAUUCGGACCUCACCCUACCAACUGAGGCUAGGUCGGAUUAGCUAGUUGGUGGGGUUAAGGCCUACCAAGGCGACGAUACGUAAGUGGUCUGAGAGGAGGAUCAGUCACACUAGAACUGAGACACGGUCCAGACUCCUACGGGAGGCAGCAGUGGGGAAUAUUGGACAAUGGGCGAAAGCCUGAUCCAGCCAUGCCGCGUCGGUGGAAAGGGUCUUCGGAUUGUAAAGCACUUUAAGUUGGGAGGAAGGGCAGUAAGUUAAUACCGUGCUGUUUUGACGGUACCAACAGAAUAAGCACCGGCUAACUUCGUG